AAUGCCCCAGAAAUAGCAUAUACAUUGCGCCCUAAGUCCAGUCUCGCCCAGGUGUGGCAGGAGCUUUUACCUGCUCUUCGGCAGUAGCCGGCUGCCACUCAACCCCAUGCCUGGUGAGUGGAAAGCCAUCAACCUUUUAUUUAGUCCCUCUCUCGUUGUCGCCUGGGGAGGGGCGACUUUGUACAGUGAGGCACUGGGGUCCGGCACCAUAGUGGGAGUUGGGGUUGUUUACGCGACACUUCUAAGGGGAUUUUCACAAUCGGUUAAGCCCCCGUUAAUCCUCACAUGGUUAUUGCGGCGACCCCCAUAGCCCACGGUCCCAAACGUGUGCAUCUGAAUCAUCCGAAGCUCUUUCUAAAGGCAGGCUCCCCUGGCCGCCUCUCCUAAUCCGACUCGGUACUUCACGGGGCGUGCCUAGAAUCUGCAUUUUAGCAAGGGCCUCGCGUGGACAGAAUUGCACGCUUGAGUUUGAGAAGUACUGCUUGGCCUCUGCCCCACUUACCCUUACCUUCUUGAGAUGAGGUAAAGCACUUGGUAGGCACUAGGCGGGUAGGUUUAUCUUUGCUCCCAAGUCUCUUCCGAGAACUUGGGAAGGCUGCCUAGCUUAGUGAGGGAAUCCAUUCUGGCUUCAGACCAGUCUGGGUUUGAAACCUACACAUCCCACUAACUUAGGCAGGGUACCGAAACUCCCUGAGCUUCAUGUCCUCAUCAGUAAAACGAGGUUAAUCACACCUACACCUUAGCGCGAUGGCUUAAAAAAAAAAAAAAAAAAAACAAACAAAAAAAAACAUAGUCCAUCAAGAGAAAUACAUUUUGCAUACAGACCAGUACACUGCUAUUUGUAUGAGAGUGUCAUAAAGUUUCCGAAAACAAUGCUUACUACUUGUGACGCACUGAUAGUUUCUAUGCUUAUCCUAUCCUAUCUUAUUCUCCUUCUUGUUGAUCAUGACUGGCAGUUUGAAAAACACUGCUAGAAAAGACUGAGCUGUGGUAGAAGGAUUGAGGCCAGCACAGAGGAGGAUCAGCAGGAAAUGUAAGGGUUGUCCUCAUCUAAUCCGUCAGUACCAGACAGUGAACAUCUCUCCCCCAGGAUGCUGAGGGAGGGUCCUGGAGGGAAGGAUGUGGAACUACAGCCUCUGCUCUCAAGAAGCUCAGAUCUGGGCAGGGAACAUCACAUACCAGGGCUGUCUGUCGGGGGGGUGGAGGGCUGGGGGAGGGAUAGCAUUAGGGGAAAUACCUAAUGUAAAUGACAAGUUGAUGGGUGCAGCAAACCAACAUGGCACAUGUAUACCUAUGUAACAAAUCUGCAUGUUGUGCACGUGUACCCUAGAACUUAAAGUAUAAUUAAAAAAAAAAAAAGCUUCAGAUCCCUCCUGGAGCCUCCUAUGAA
RNAcentral lists this long non-coding RNA (1390 nucleotides) under Homo sapiens (human). Its description in RNAcentral is "HSALNT0390336". The record is from RNAcentral. Lineage: Eukaryota; Metazoa; Chordata; Mammalia; Primates; Hominidae.